This 74-nucleotide transfer RNA is filed under the name marine sediment metagenome. RNAcentral's name for it is "tRNA-Gly". It matches the Rfam family "tRNA". Rfam says of the family: Transfer RNA (tRNA) molecules are approximately 80 nucleotides in length. Their secondary structure includes four short double-helical elements and three loops (D, anti-codon, and T loops). The record is from RNAcentral.
GCGGCCAUAGUUAAAUGGUAUAAUGGAAGCUUGCCAUGCUUCGGUUGCGGGUUCAAUUCCCGCUGGCCGCUCCA